AGCGAACGCUGGCGGCAGGCUUAACACAUGCAAGUCGAGCGGGCGUAGCAAUACGUCAGCGGCAGACGGGUGAGUAACGCGUGGGAACAUACCUUUUGGUUCGGAACAACACAGGGAAACUUGUGCUAAUACCGGAUAAGCCCUUACGGGGAAAGAUUUAUCGCCGAAAGAUUGGCCCGCGUCUGAUUAGCUAGUUGGUGAGGUAACGGCUCACCAAGGCGACGAUCAGUAGCUGGUCGAGAGGAUGAUCAGCCACAUUGGGACUGAGACACGGCCCAAACUCCUACGGGAGGCAGCAGUGGGGAAUAUUGGACAAUGGGCGCAAGCCUGAUCCAGCCAUGCCGCGUGAGUGAUGAAGGCCCUAGGGUUGUAAAGCUCUUUUGUGCGGGAAGAUAAUGACGGUACCGCAAGAAUAAGCCCCGGCUAACUUCGUGCCA
This 437-nucleotide ribosomal RNA is filed under the name uncultured bacterium. Its description in RNAcentral is "bacterial SSU rRNA". It matches the Rfam family "Bacterial small subunit ribosomal RNA", at positions 29 to 510 of the family's 1533-position model. The record is from RNAcentral.